CCCAUCCUGGCUCAGUCAGUAGAGCAUGAGACUCUUUAUCUCAGGGUUGUGGGUUCAAGCCCCACAUUGGGA
Molecule: transfer RNA, 72 nt
Filed under: Dryobates pubescens (Downy woodpecker)
Lineage: Eukaryota; Metazoa; Chordata; Aves; Piciformes; Picidae
Description: Picoides pubescens (downy woodpecker) tRNA
Rfam family: tRNA
About the family: Transfer RNA (tRNA) molecules are approximately 80 nucleotides in length. Their secondary structure includes four short double-helical elements and three loops (D, anti-codon, and T loops).
Source: Rfam by way of RNAcentral